RNAcentral lists this long non-coding RNA (4722 nucleotides) under Olea europaea subsp. europaea. Lineage: Eukaryota; Viridiplantae; Streptophyta; Magnoliopsida; Lamiales; Oleaceae. The record is from RNAcentral.
AGUAAACCAAUUUAAUUACCUUCCUCCUGACGAUAAGAGGGGUAUCAUCAUCAUCAACAACAUCAUCCUCUAGAAUGGGAGAUGCUGAGGUUGGCCAUUUGCGGCUUGGGGCACUCUUGGCUGUAGUAGGCUUGGCAGGGAGAGAAGAAGAUGAACGAGCAGACUGUUUAGCACGACGAGGAGGAGAAGGACUCCGGAUGGACAAAGGAGUGACUAAAACAGGAGGAGGGGAAGAAAUGCUCGGCUGGUCUAGUGAAUGAAAGGCACAAUUGGCAUCAGCCGCAAAUAAUCUGCGCUUCACUGACGGCCAGAGCUGUUCAAAAAGAGGAUGGAUGACGUGGCUAGAAUUGAAGGGGGCUAAUGAAAAAUAGCUGGUUAAAAGAAGAUUGUGAGCAUUUAUAGCCUCUCCAUCCGCCUUAUUAAUAAUAUGAAAACGGUCAAUUAAGUUCCUUGAAUAGCAAGGAGGAACAGGCCAAGUUUGGCUGAAACCAAACUGGCGAGCAAAAAAUUGGGGAACAUAAAUUUCUACCCCUGCCUUGGCAUUGGUCCCAGUUAAAAUAUCAUGAAAUAGCUCCCUCCCGAUUAAAAACAGGAUCCAAAUGAGCAGGGAGGUGCUCGUGCUGUCUAUAGUGGAGGGGGGAUGUAUAUAGUCUGGAGUCAAAAAAGGAGGAAAAGGAAAAAAGGAAGAGAUUGAAUCCAAAGAAUAAAAGAAUGAAAAAAUGUCCCUUCUGGACAUAUUUACAGGAGCCAAGGGCUCCAUGGCUAGCCCAUAACAGCUAGCAGAGGAGCGAGAAAUUGAUGGAGCACCAAGCAAUGAAAAAUAGGAUCUCAACCACAGUUGAGUGAACUAAAGAGGUCCACUACCAGUGGGAGAUGCACUAUUCUUCAAUUGAGUUUGAAGAGAGGCCAUGCCUCUAUAUAGGGCAGCCAAAAAGAAAGAACAUAAAUUCAAAAGCCUGCCACGCGCCAAUUCAUGCGCUAUGGGUAAAUAACUCAGGGAGGGCUUUAUGCUUGGCACACACAAAACAUAUUUACAAAGCCAAACUAGAAAAAAAGCCACUCGCUCAGUAUGGGAAAUCUCAGCGCUUGAAUGAUUGUGAAGGGUUUGCAGGCUUGAAUAAGACUUGGUGUAGUUUUACCAAACUUUGGGGCCCCACCAGAACCAAGAUACCAGGAAAAAUGGUAUCGCCCAAAGGUGGUAGAUUCACUAAGGCCCCAACAUCCCUUAAAGUAAUAGACAUGGGGCCAAGAGGGAAAAUAAAGGUAUUAUACUCAAAAGACCAAAAACUCAAAGCAAUCGAAAAAAGUGUUGAAUCAAAAGUAGGGAGCGAAUAGAGAUUUCUAACAAAUCAGAAAUCCUAGCAUUAUCAAAAAAUGUCUUAGUAGGACCAUGACCCAUAAGACGAGCAUGCCACCUACGGAAAUCUACAUCAGAUUUAGGCCAAGUGUGAAUACCUCUUUCGCGAAGUGGCCCCAGUGGCAGAGAGUUUAGAAAUUGAGGGCCUUGAGUACAAGGAAACAGCUGACCCACCGCCGCCUGUUCAACUGUCUCCGCAUUGUUGAAGAAAGGACCUAAGUAUAACUCAUUGCGUUCGACAUCGGCGGGCGCGAGAAAACUCGGAGUUAUGUAUGGACGACGCAAAAGUUUCUGAAAGUCAUCAAAACUAAAGGAGUCCCCAGCUUGAGAUUGUGAAGUAGCCAUUUGAGAUGGAACGAAGUUUUUCAGGGUUACGUAGCAGGGAAGCAAAAGAUGAACAGUAAAUCGUAGGAGAGACGCGAAAAAAUUGAGGCGUGAUUUAAUGGUGCAGUGAAAUGGCGUGUUUGGGGGUUAUAAGGGUUUGUAAAAAGACGCACCUUUUCAAGUUAUGGAAGAAAACAAUGAUUGAAAUUCUUGAAAAUCUCGAAUGUUGCUGGAAACACAAAGUGAAUAUAGCAAAAUUUAAUAAUUAUUAUUAAUUCUACCAUAUUGGGGGGUAAUUGUUGACACAUAAAAAUUCAGCCCAAAUUGAACGGCCCAAGGAAUGAAACCCAAAUUGGAGGAUCCCCAAAUCAGAUAGCCCAAAGAACGAAGCCCAAUCAAACAAUUCACGAUGAAGGCCCAAAUAGGGAGGCCCAAGAACGCGGUAACGCCAUCGCCCAAGUUUGCAAGUCGCCCAAAAUCUGAGUGAAUGGAGUGCCAUGCAGUCGCCCAGAGCUGUUACUUUAUUCUCGCCCAAACCUUCAAGUCGUCCAAAGUCUUAACAAACAUAAAGCGUUGUGGUUAUCAAGAAGUGCAGCUAUUAAAGCAGCCCUAUCACGUUCCACGAUUCAAGGAAUUCAAUCGAAAACGGUUGAACGACGAAGAGUAAUGGCAACAAUUAAAAAAGGCAGUUUUCAUAACAAGCUGGCCAUUAUGAGGAAAGUGGGCAGUUGCAGAACGAUCAAACAGUUUUUAGGUGGUUAAUCACAAAAAAGAUCAUCCAUGGAGUAUAAAAGGGAGAAAAGACAUAGAGCAAAGGAUCGAAUCAAAAACUCUCGAACAGAGAACAUGUAAUUUUAAUUUCUUUAGUUUAGACUUAAACACUUUUUUCAAUAACUCGUGUGCUUGCGCCCCUUGGAGGCAUUUUGUUUUUGAUUUCCAAUUGUAAAGUCAUCGACAAUAAAAGAACACCCCUUUUUGGGACUUUGUCUCAAGAGGUUUGUCCCUUACACAAUCGUUUGAUCCCUUUUAAUUGUUAGCGACUAACCCGCGCGAAACAGGUACAUUUCGAUCUUGAGUUAUAUCGGAUUGAUGUAAAGACGAUGUUUCUCAAUAGUGACAUUGAUGAGACAAUAUAUAGUGCAACUAGAAAACUUUACAUCAAGAGACCAAAAGAAAAUGAUUUGCAAUUUAAAGAAAUUUAUCCAUGAGCUUAAGUAAUCUUCCUGUCAAUGGUGUCACAAAUUUCAUGAAAUAAUCACCUUGUUUGUUUUUGAGAUAAAUGCAGUUGAUGAUUGUAUCUAUCACAAGUUUUCAGUGGAAGUAAAUAUAUUUUCUUGGUAUUGUAUGUCGAUGAAUACUACUUACCUGCAAUAACAUAGGCUUAUUAUAAGAAACUAAGAAAUUUCAAUCAAAAAUUUUUGAAAUGAAAGAUCUUGAUGGCGUCUCUUUUAUAUUAGGAAUACCGAUACACCAGAUAGUUCUCAGGGUAUUCUUGAAUUAUCGGAAAAAACUAUAUCAAUAAAGUGUUUAAGAGAUAUGGAAUGUAGGAUUGUGAACAAGGAGAUAUCCUUACGCUAAGGGAGACAAAUUUAGUCUCAAUCAAUGCCCUAAGAAUGACCUUGAAGAAAAAGGAAAUGCAGAAAACUUCAUAUACUUCAGUAGUUGAGAGUUUGACGUUUGCUCAAGUAUGCACACGCCCAGAUUUACCAUUCGUUGUUGGAAUGCUAGGUAGAUAUUUAAGUAACUCUGGGAUGAAUCGUUGAAAGGCAGCCAAGCUGGUAAAGUGGUAUUUAUAGAUAACAAAAGAUUACAUGCUUACAUACAGGAAAUCAAACCAAUUAGAGAUUAAUGUUAUUCUGAUUUUGAUUUUGUCGAAUAUCAAGACAAUAGAAAAUCCACAUUGGGCUAUGUCUUUCUGAUGGUUGGAAGAGCUAUAUCCUUAAAGAGUACGAAGCAGACACUCAUAACUUCUUCAAUCAUGGCGGCGGAGUUUGUAGCAUGUUAUAAGGUAUCCAAUCGAGAAAUAUGACUAUGGAAUUUUGUCACUAGACUGUAAAUUUUUGGAUGGAGUUGAUAGAUCAUUUAAGUUAUUUUGUGACUAUAACUUAGCAGUUUUAUAUUCAAACAACUAGAGGAGUUCCACAAUGUCUAAAUUUAUAGACAUUAAAUUCCUAAUUUUUAAAGGAAGAGUUUAAAGUGGUCAAGUUACUAUAGAACAUAUUGGGACAAACUCCAUGAUAAGACCCAUUUACUAAAGGACUACCACCAAAGGUCUUUCAUGAGCACACUGCUCCCAUGGGUGUUGUACAUUUUGAUGAUAUCUUAGUUUAGUGGGAGUUUGUAAUUUUGGAUGUUGUCCUUUUGACUCAUGAUUUUAAUUGUGCUCAUUCAAGUUUAUUUCAAUAACAAAGUAUUCAGUUCAGUUUUCACUCUAAUUAAAGUUUUGGUUUGAUCUCAUUAAAGUAUAAAGUAUUAAAGGAUAAAGUAGAACCAGUUGAAAAUAGGCAUGUUCAGAUCAAAUUACAUGUAAUUUCCAUGCUAUGCGUUCACACUUGAUCUAUGUCACUUGAUUGUGUUGAUAUACGUGACCAUUGUGAGUUUAAUUAUGAUAUUUGUAACGAAAAUUUCUUUAAUCUUAUAUUGACAUAAUUAAUGAACGAGAUUGUUUGGACAUGCCUUUUGGGUAUGAUAACAAAAGUUUUGAACUCAUAAGGUUAUACACAUUUACAUAGUAAUCCAUGUGACCCAAGUGGAACAUUGUUGGAAAAUUAUUAAUUUGUUAUAUGGGCCGACUUAUGUAAUUAAUUGUAUAUAAAAACUAUUUUAAAGUUAAGUCCAAAAUUAAAGUAUGUAUAGUGAUCUAUUCUUUAUAAUUAUAUUUCAUGACGGAUGAUGGAAACUAUAUAUAGGUUUAUGGUCUCCAAUUCAUAUACAACUUAUCAUUCUUUGCAUCAUCUCAUCAACGCAAGAAUUAAUAAAGAAAGCAUAUUAAAAAUGAAGAUCCUAAACCCAAAAUUAAGAACAUGCAAUUUACAAUCAAG